Long non-coding RNA from Folsomia candida, 256 nucleotides. RefSeq lists it as uncharacterized. The record is from RefSeq and is a predicted model, not a curated record. The transcript has 3 exons. Lineage: Eukaryota; Metazoa; Arthropoda; Collembola; Entomobryomorpha; Isotomidae.
CGAAAAGUGGUAUCCGCCACCAAUGCUAGCAGUAAUCUUCCCAAAGAUUCUGAGACAACUGGGGCGAGCUUUAGUGUAAAUCAAUCAGUGAUAUCCGGAGUGAGUUAGUCCGGAGUGAUGUCCGGAGUUAAUCUUGGUGGGAUACAGACCGUUUCCAAUUCUGUUGAAGAAACGCAAGCUUGGAUCGAGAACAUGUACGUGAUAUUUAUUGGGAAGUGAUGCUGGAAUAAAACUCAUUACAUUUUUCAAAAAAUAA